Molecule: ribosomal RNA, 164 nt
Filed under: uncultured bacterium
Lineage: Bacteria
Description: partial 16S rRNA
Rfam family: Bacterial small subunit ribosomal RNA
Source: RNAcentral
UAGGGAAUCUUCCACAAUGGGCGAAAGCCUGAUGGAGCAACGCCGCGUGUGUGAUGAAGGCUUUCGGGUCGUAAAGCACUGUUGUAUGGGAAGAACAGUUAGAAUAGGAAAUGAUUUUAGUUUGACGGUACCAUACCAGAAAGGGACGGCUAAAUACGUGCCAA